AGAGUUUGAUCCUGGCUCAGGAUGAAUUUUAGCUACAGGCUUAACACAUGCAAGUCGAGGGGCAGCAUGGUCUUAGCUUGCUAAGGCCGAUGGCGACCGGCGCACGGGUGAGUAACGCGUAUCCAACCUGCCUUACACUCUUGGACAGCCUUCUGAAAGGGAGAUUAAUACAAGAUGUUAUCAUGAGUAAGCAUUUUCGCAUGAUUAAAGGUUUACCGGUGUAAGAUGGGGAUGCGUUCCAUUAGAUAGUAGGCGGGGUAACGGCCCACCUAGUCUUCGAUGGAUAGGGGUUCUGAGAGGAAGGUCCCCCACAUUGGAACUGAGACACGGUCCAAACUCCUACGGGAGGCAGCAGUGAGGAAUAUUGGUCAAUGGACGAGAGUCUGAACCAGCCAAGUAGCGUGAAGGAUGAAGGUUCUAUGGAUUGUAAACUUCUUUUAUACGGGAAUAAACGGAUCCACGUGUGGAUUUUUGCAUGUACCGUAUGAAUAAGGAUCGGCUAACUCCGUGCCAGCAGCCGCGGUAAUACGGAGGAUCCGAGCGUUAUCCGGAUUUAUUGGGUUUAAAGGGAGCGUAGAUGGGUUGUUAAGUCAGUUGUGAAAGUUUGCGGCUCAACCGUAAAAUUGCAAUUGAUACUGGCAGUCUUGAGUACAGUUGAGGUAGGCGGAAUUCGUGGUGUAGCGGUGAAAUGCUUAGAUAUCACGAAGAACUCCGAUUGCGAAGGCAGCUUACUAACCUGUAACUGACAUUGAUGCUCGAAAGUGUGGGUAUCAAACAGGAUUAGAUACCCUGGUAGUCCACACGGUAAACGAUGAAUACUCGCUGAGGGCGAUAAACAUUUUGCGGCCAAGCGAAAGCAUUAAGUAUUCCACCUGGGGAGUACGCCGGCAACGGUGAAACUCAAAGGAAUGGACGGGGGCCCGCACAAGCGGAGGAACAUGUGGUUUAAUUCGAAGCAACGCGAAGAACCUUACCAAGUCUUGACAUCCGCCUGACCGAUCCUUAACCGGAUCUUUCCUUCGGGACAGGCGAGACAGGUGGUGCAUGGUUGUCGUCAGCUCGUGUCGUGAGAUGUUGGGUUAAGUCCCGCAACGAGCGCAACCCCUAUCCUCAGUAGCCAGCAUUUAAGGUGGGCACUCUGGGGAGACUGCCAGGGAUAACCUGGAGGAAGGCGGGGAUGACGUCAAAUCAUCAUGCCCCUUAUGAUUUGGGCUACACACGUGCUACAAUGGCGUAAACAAAGGGAAGCGAGCCUGCGAAGGUAAGCAAAUCCCAAAAAUAACGUCCCAGUUCGGACUGCAGUCUGCAACUCGACUGCACGAAGCUGGAAUCGCUAGUAAUCGCGGAUCAGAAUGCCGCGGUGAAUACGUUCCCGGGUCUUGCACACACCGCCCGUCAAG
This 1400-nucleotide ribosomal RNA is filed under the name uncultured bacterium. RNAcentral describes it as "partial 16S ribosomal RNA". It matches the Rfam family "Bacterial small subunit ribosomal RNA". The record is from RNAcentral.